This 392-nucleotide ribosomal RNA is filed under the name uncultured bacterium. RNAcentral describes it as "partial 16S ribosomal RNA". It matches the Rfam family "Bacterial small subunit ribosomal RNA", at positions 523 to 918 of the family's 1533-position model. The record is from RNAcentral.
AUACGGAGGAUCCGAGCGUUAUCCGGAUUUAUUGGGUUUAAAGGGUGCGCAGGCGGCCAUUUAAGUCAGCGGUUAAAUCGUGGGGCUCAACCCCAUUCUGCCGUUGAUACUGGGUGGCUUGAUUGCGGUCGAGGUUGGCGGAAUUCGUUGUGUAGCGGUGAAAUGCAUAGAUAUGACGAGGAACACCGAUUGCGUAGGCAGCUGACCAGACCGCAAAUGACGCUCAUGCACGAAAGUGCGGGGAUCGAACAGGAUUAGAUGCCCUGGUAGUCCGCACAGUAAACGAUGAAUACUUGUUUUCGGCGAUAUAAUGUCGGAGGCAAAGCGAAAGCGAUAAGUAUUCCACCUGGGGAGUACGCCGGCAACGGUGAGACCCAAAUGAAUUGGCGGGG